Molecule: ribosomal RNA, 599 nt
Filed under: uncultured bacterium
Lineage: Bacteria
Description: bacterial SSU rRNA
Rfam family: Bacterial small subunit ribosomal RNA (bases 1-517)
Source: RNAcentral
CCUACGGGAGGCAGCAGUGGGGAAUAUUGGACAAUGGGCGAAAGCCUGAUCCAGCAAUGCCGCGUGAGUGAUGAAGGCCUUAGGGUUGUAAAGCUCUUUUACCAGGGAUGAUAAUGACAGUACCUGGAGAAUAAGCUCCGGCUAACUCCGUGCCAGCAGCCGCGGUAAUACGGAGGGAGCUAGCGUUGUUCGGAAUUACUGGGCGUAAAGCGUACGUAGGCGGUUAUUCAAGUCAGAGGUGAAAGCCUGGAGCUCAACUCCAGAACUGCCUUUGAAACUAGAUAGCUAGAAUCUUGGAGAGGUGAGUGGAAUUCCGAGUGUAGAGGUGAAAUUCGUAGAUAUUCGGAAGAACACCAGUGGCGAAGGCGACUCACUGGACAAGUAUUGACGCUGAGGUACGAAAGCGUGGGGAGCAAACAGGAUUAGAUACCCUGGUAGUCCACGCCGUAAACGAUGAUAACUAGCUGUUCGGGCUCUACGAGCUUGAGUGGCCGNNGCACGACAUAAGUUAUCCGCCGUGGGAGGUACGGUCGCGAGAAGUAAACUAACUAAGAAGUUAGUAGCGUUGAGAGNGCGACGGACGACGACGAGGGAGGAGG